UAUUCUAUUCUAAUUGUCCUUUCCACUAACCAAGUUAAAUGAGUUGGGAUCCUCAUGUCAUUGUCAUGUCGGAAGCGCCUUAGCGCUUCCAAGUUGAAAGGUUUAGUUAGUGAUACCACUGUUGGCUGGGGGAACAGCUGUGGCCUCCUUUAAUUAAUGAGCCUACCAAAGAAGUACCUAUUUAUCUACACACAUUUGCACACUUUCGAACUGCUAGGUCAGAGCUGGAGUGAAUCAUGGGAGCUCACCCCAACACACAGCAGCAUUUCGGUCUCGAGCAUGGGCUUGCAAAUUGUCAACCCAACAUUCCAACCAUGGGAGCUACCGAGUCAGUCCGGGCAAGGCUUUUCAGGAUCAGAAAGGCUUGCAGACAGGGAGGAGCAGGAGAGACAGAGCUCAGGCGAAGAGCAAGGACCACCCCCUCCUGAUCCUAGAGCACGGAGAGAAGAGAGAAAGCGAGAAUAACGCAGACUGAGCCGUCUACGAGGGAGGAGAAUGCCCUGCCCCCUUUCACAAGUGAUCAAAGAGUGUGAUACUGUAAGCAUACAUCACCCUUUCUGUUCUCUGAAGGAAGGAGUCCUAGCUGAACACAAAGAAAUUUAGAUACACAAAAGGGCAUUCCUCAUUACCCAAGAAGCAGACAUCCAUGGAUUCAUCUACCCUCUUGGUUACAGCACGCAGAAGUCUCCUUUCCAUGUUAGCUGGAGCUUCGUCUUGCUAGAAAGUUUGAAGUUUUCUUUUCCGGUAGUACAAAUGAAUCCUUUCAAGAUAAAGCAAAAAAGCUGAAAGGGCAUACAUUUUUUUUAAAAGAUCUAAUUCUGUUUAGUAGCCUCAUUAGUACAUGCUAGAGCAGGGGUCUCCAAACUUGGCAACUUUAAGACUUGUGGACUUCAACUCCCAGAGUUCCUCAGCCAGCAAAACUCUGGAAGUUGAAGUCCACAAGUCUUAAAGUUGCCAAGGUUGGAGACCCCUGGGCUAGAGGAACAUCAGGACUGAAUUACUUGAAUGUAUAUAUUAAAUUUAUUGAGGCUUUUUGUUGGAAACUAGUUACACAUAGUUCACGGUAACCUUGCAUGCAGUUGACUCAAGAAGACAGGACGAGGAACUUUCUGUUCUUUAUUCUACGAAAAUGUCCUCUUAUGGCUAGACUGACACCACAAAAGUGAUAUCCAAUUCCACAAAUUAAUGCAAACAGAAAGCUCUUUUAUGUUUCCUUUUGAUGUCAAUGUUGGUUAUCAACCCUGAUUUUCAAUGUUGUUGGACUUAGUGGCCCAAAUAUUUCUUUCCACUUCGGUAUAAUAAACGUUAUAAGUUUUUCAAAUGUAAGGAAAAAAAUAAAAAUUCAUUAAAACUUG
Ahaetulla prasina is the source of this 1355-nucleotide long non-coding RNA. RefSeq lists it as uncharacterized. The transcript has 2 exons. The record is from RefSeq and is a predicted model, not a curated record. NCBI's taxonomy places the organism in Eukaryota, Metazoa, Chordata, Lepidosauria, Squamata, Colubridae.